AAUGGACGAAAGUCUGACCGAGCGAUGCCGCGUGCGGGAUGAAGGCCCUCGGGUUGUAAACCGCUGUCAGUUGGGAGGAAGGCUCCGUGAAGAGCGGAGUUUGACCUAUCUUCAGAGGAAGUCCGGGCUAAGUUCGUGCCAGCAGCCGCGGUAACACGAACCGGACAAACGUUAUUCGGAAUUAUUGGGCUUAAAGGGUGCGUAGGCGGUGCGGUAAGUGAGGUGUGAAAGCCCACGGCUCAACCGUGGAAUUGCGCUUCAUACUGCCGUGCUAGAGGGAGACAGAGGUAAGCGGAACUGAUGGUGGAGCGGUGAAAUGCGUUGAUAUUAUCAGGACACCGGUGGCGAAAGCGGCUUACUGGGUCUCUCUGACGCUGAGGCACGAAAGCUAGGGUAGCGAACGGGAUU
This 408-nucleotide ribosomal RNA is filed under the name uncultured Gammaproteobacteria bacterium. RNAcentral describes it as "bacterial SSU rRNA". It matches the Rfam family "Bacterial small subunit ribosomal RNA", at positions 370 to 779 of the family's 1533-position model. Lineage: Bacteria; Pseudomonadati; Pseudomonadota; Gammaproteobacteria. The record is from RNAcentral.